AGGAUGAACGCUGGCGGCGUGCCUAAUACAUGCAAGUCGAGCGAACAGACGAGGAGCUUGCUCCUCUGACGUUAGCGGCGGACGGGUGAGUAACACGUGGAUAACCUACCUAUAAGACUGGGAUAACUUCGGGAAACCGGAGCUAAUACCGGAUAACAUGUUGAACCGCAUGGUUCAACAGUGAAAGACGGUCUUGCUGUCACUUAUAGAUGGAUCCGCGCCGCAUUAGCUAGUUGGUAAGGUAACGGCUUACCAAGGCAACGAUGCGUAGCCGACCUGAGAGGGUGAUCGGCCACACUGGAACUGAGACACGGUCCAGACUCCUACGGGAGGCAGCAGUAGGGAAUCUUCCGCAAUGGGCGAAAGCCUGACGGAGCAACGCCGCGUGAGUGAAGAAGGUCUUCGGAUCGUAAAACUCUGUUAUUAGGGAAGAACAAAUGUGUAAGUAACUAUGCACGUCUUGACGGUACCUAAUCAGAAAGCCACGGCUAACUACGUGCCAGCAGCCGCGGUAAUACGUAGGUGGCAAGCGUUAUCCGGAAUUAUUGGGCGUAAAGCGCGCGUAGGCGGUUUUUUAAGUCUGAUGUGAAAGCCCACGGCUCAACCGUGGAGGGUCAUUGGAAACUGGAAAACUUGAGUGCAGAAGAGGAAAGUGGAAUUCCAUGUGUAGCGGUGAAAUGCGCAGAGAUAUGGAGGAACACCAGUGGCGAAGGCGACUUUCUGGUCUGUAACUGACGCUGAUGUGCGAAAGCGUGGGGAUCAAACAGGAUUAGAUACCCUGGUAGUCCACGCCGUAAACGAUGAGUGCUAAGUGUUAGGGGGUUUCCGCCCCUUAGUGCUGCAGCUAACG
Molecule: ribosomal RNA, 850 nt
Filed under: Staphylococcus sp. M_A_05/11_2_1
Lineage: Bacteria; Bacillati; Bacillota; Bacilli; Caryophanales; Staphylococcaceae
Description: bacterial SSU rRNA
Rfam family: Bacterial small subunit ribosomal RNA
Source: RNAcentral